This 213-nucleotide long non-coding RNA is filed under the name Lathyrus oleraceus (garden pea). Its description in RNAcentral is "Pisum sativum (pea) long non-coding RNA (PSAT_LNC039669)". Lineage: Eukaryota; Viridiplantae; Streptophyta; Magnoliopsida; Fabales; Fabaceae. The record is from RNAcentral.
UCCAUCGAGUGGCAUUCGGGUUCCAGUGUGGGUUUGUUGGUUCGGAUGCUGAUGUAAGUCCAGUGAUUGGCGUUCAGGCUCCACGUUUGCCUCUUUGUGUGUGUUUUGGUUCGGAUGCUGAUGUAAGUCCAGUGAUUGGCGUUCAGGCUCCACGUUCGCCUCUUUGUGUGUGUUUUGGUUCGGAUGCUGAUGUAAGUCCAGUGAUUGGCAUUC